AACGCGAAGAACCUUACCAGGGCUUGACAUCCUGCGAACCUCUGGGAAACCGGAGGGUGCCUUCGGGAACGCAGAGACAGGUGGUGCAUGGCUGUCGUCAGCUCGUGUCGUGAGAUGUUGGGUUAAGUCCCGCAACGAGCGCAACCCACGUCUUUAGUUGCCAGCAUUCAGUUGGGCACUCUAGAGAGACCGCCGGUGAUAAGCCGGAGGAAGGUGGGGACGACGUCAAGUCAUCAUGGCCCUUACGGGCUGGGCUACACACGUGCUACAAUGGCGGUGACAAUGCGCAGCCACCUAGCAAUAGGGAGCUAAUCGCAAAAAGCCGUCUCAGUUCGGAUUGGAGUCUGCAACUCGACUCCAUGAAGUUGGAAUCGCUAGUAAUCGCGCAUCAGCAUGGCGCGGUGAAUACGUUCCCGGGUCUUGUACACACCG
RNAcentral lists this ribosomal RNA (432 nucleotides) under uncultured bacterium. Its description in RNAcentral is "bacterial SSU rRNA". It matches the Rfam family "Bacterial small subunit ribosomal RNA", at positions 958 to 1392 of the family's 1533-position model. The record is from RNAcentral.